Molecule: transfer RNA, 73 nt
Filed under: Ixodes scapularis (black-legged tick)
Lineage: Eukaryota; Metazoa; Arthropoda; Arachnida; Ixodida; Ixodidae
Description: tRNA-Ser for anticodon GGA
Rfam family: tRNA
About the family: Transfer RNA (tRNA) molecules are approximately 80 nucleotides in length. Their secondary structure includes four short double-helical elements and three loops (D, anti-codon, and T loops).
Source: RNAcentral
UCCUGGUCAGCUCAGUCGGUAGGGCGCUUCACUGGAAAUAGAGAGGUUCCUGGUUCGAUGCCAGGACCACGCG